GCAGCUCGGGACAGGCGAGCCCCCAGCCGUACCACUCCUUCAGGAUGACCGUCAUUCCACCUCUUCCACGCCUGGCCACACGCUGACGUCUGUCCCUGGCCUCAGGAGCAGGAGCGAGAUGGGGGAAGGACACCCACCCUGGAGAUCAUUAAAAGCCACUUCUCUGGAAUCUUCCGCCCCAAGUUCUCCAUCCCUCCUCCGCUGCAGCUCGUUCCAGAGGUGCAGAAGCCCCUCCACGAGCAGCUGUGGUACCAUGGGGCUAUCCCUCGGGCAGAGGUAGCUGAGCUGCUAACACACUCCGGGGACUUCCUGGUUCGGGAGAGCCAGGGCAAGCAGGAGUAUGUUCUGUCUGUGCUGUGGGAUGGCCAGCCCCGACACUUCAUCAUCCAAUCCUCAGAUAACCUGUACCGGCUGGAAGGGGACGGCUUUCCCAGCAUCCCUUUGCUCAUCACUCACCUGCUGUCCUCCC
Molecule: long non-coding RNA, 469 nt
Filed under: Rattus norvegicus (Norway rat)
Lineage: Eukaryota; Metazoa; Chordata; Mammalia; Rodentia; Muridae
Description: long non-coding RNA NONRATT002815
Source: RNAcentral